UUGGUUGAGUGCUGUUGGCCCCAGUGCUGC
RNAcentral lists this non-coding RNA (30 nucleotides) under Homo sapiens (human). The record is from RNAcentral. Lineage: Eukaryota; Metazoa; Chordata; Mammalia; Primates; Hominidae.